GCCCCCGUUGUCUAAUGGCUAUGACGUCAGACUUCUAACCAGGGGGUCUUACCUAUAUUGCUUACGUAAUCUUGGGGCGAUCUGGAGGUUGCGGGUUCGAGUCCCGCCGGGGGUA
Molecule: non-coding RNA, 115 nt
Organism: Cerioporus squamosus
Lineage: Eukaryota; Fungi; Basidiomycota; Agaricomycetes; Polyporales; Polyporaceae
Source: the annotation of a GenBank genome assembly